This 243-nucleotide ribosomal RNA is filed under the name uncultured bacterium. Its description in RNAcentral is "partial 16S ribosomal RNA". It matches the Rfam family "Bacterial small subunit ribosomal RNA", at positions 111 to 354 of the family's 1533-position model. The record is from RNAcentral.
UAACGCGUGGGGAACCUACCGUACGCAGGGGGACAACAGUCAGAAAUGACUGCUAAUACCGCAUAAGCACACAAUGCUGCAUGGCAUGGUGUGAAAAGAUUUAUCGGCAUACGAUGGCCCCGCGUCUGAUUAGCCAGUUGGCAGGGUAACGGCCUACCAAAGCAACGAUCAGUAGCCGGCUUGAGAGAGUGACCGGCCACAUUGGGACUGAGACACGGCCCAGACUCCUACGGGAGGCAGCAG